AUCGCUCGCCCCCAACCAUGCAUCCCCUAAAGGAUGCUUGGUGUCGGGGCGGAGAUUGGCCUCCCGUGCCUUUGGUGCGGUUGGCCUAAACUAGAGUACCUUCGGUGGACGCACAACUAGUGGUGGUUGAAUAGACCCUCGUCUUGUGUUGUGCGUCGUAAGCUGUGAGGGAGGCCCUUGUUGAAGACCCCAAUGUGUGUCCUACGACGAUGCUUGGACC
This 220-nucleotide unclassified non-coding RNA is filed under the name Stephanomeria pauciflora. Lineage: Eukaryota; Viridiplantae; Streptophyta; Magnoliopsida; Asterales; Asteraceae. The record is from RNAcentral.